AUUGAACGCUGGCGGCAUGCUUUACACAUGCAAGUCGAACGGCAGCGCGGGCUUCGGCCUGGCGGCGCGUGGCGAACGGGCGAGUAAUGCAUCGGAACGUGCCCAGCAGUGGGGGAUAGCCCGGCGAAAGCCGGAUUAAUACCGCAUACGACCUGAGGGUGAAAGCGGGGGACCGAAAGUCCUCGAGCGAUUGGAGCGGCCGAUGUCGGAUUAGCUAGUUGGUGGGGUAAAGGCUUACCAAGGCGACGAUCCGUAGCUGGUCUGAGAGGACGACCAGCCACACUGGGACUGAGACACGGCCCAGACUCCUACGGGAGGCAGCAGUAGGGAAUUUUGGACAAUGGGGGCAACCCUGAUCCAGCCAUGCCGCGUGAGGGAAGAAGGCCUUCGGGUUGUAAACCGCUUUUGUUCGGGAAGAAAUCCUCUGGGCUAAUACCCCGGGGGGAUGACGGUACCGGAAGAAUAAGCACCGGCUAACUACGUG
This 484-nucleotide ribosomal RNA is filed under the name uncultured bacterium. RNAcentral describes it as "partial 16S ribosomal RNA". It matches the Rfam family "Bacterial small subunit ribosomal RNA", at positions 29 to 507 of the family's 1533-position model. The record is from RNAcentral.